AGGAAAGGAUAGUCCGUGUAGCCAACAACAGGAUCCUGUAUGUAAAAGGUGGACCUAUUAUACUUGUUCAAUGGUGCGUUGAUCGCGAACCUCUUGGGCAAGUCCGGAUUGGCCAAGAAGUGCCUCCCGUAGGCGACGAGGUCAGCAUAUCCAUCGGCUAUCACCUUGUUUCCUUCCUCCCGAUCGUAUCCUCCGGCAGCGAUGAAAGUGCCAUUGAACAGCUUCCGGAAUGGCAGGAGGCCAUGGGUGAUCUUCCUGCGUCCUUCCACGAUGGCCAUUCUUGGCUCCACCAUGUGGCAGUAGAGAAACCCCGGGUGCUUGUUGAGCUGCUGCACCAUGUACGAGCCGAGAGCCACCGGGUCGGAGUCGACGCAGUCCAUAUAGUCGAUGAACGGUGACAGCCUGAUCCCCACACGGUGCGCUCCAACCUCGGCGACGAUGGCGUCGAUCACCUCGACAACGAAGCGGCACCGGUUCUCGAGGCUGCCACCGUACUCGUCGCUGCGGUCGUUGGCGCUGUCCUUCAUGAACUGCUCCAGGAGGUAGCCGUGCGCGCCGUGGAUCUCCACGCCGUCGAACCCGGCCUCGAUGGCGUUCCGCGCGGCUCGCCUGAAGUCGUCGAUGAUCUGAGGGAUCUCCUCCGUCCUCAGCCGUCGGGGUUUCGAGUAGACGAUGCCUGAAUCGUCCGGUGUGAUCUGCCUGUCUGUGCUUGAGAUGGGCGCCUGCCCGUCAGGUUGUACAUACCGUUGGUGGAGACCCUGCCGACGUGCCAGAGCUGGCAGAUGAAGAGGGCGCCCUUGCGGUGGACGGCGUCGACGAUGGGCUUCCACGCCUCGACCUGCUGCUGCGUCCAGAUGCCGGGGGUGUCCGGGUAGCCCUGCGCGGUGUCGGAGACGCCGGUGGCCUCCGUGACGAGGAGGCCGCCGCUGGUGGCGCGCUGCGUGUAGUACAGCACCGCGUGCGGCCGCGGCACGUUGCCGUAGGAGCGGUUCCGCGUGAGCGGCGCGAGCACCACACGGUGGGAGAGCUCGAACCGCCCCAUCUUGUACGGCGUCAGCAGCGG
RNAcentral lists this small RNA (1063 nucleotides) under Oryza sativa Japonica Group (Japanese rice). RNAcentral describes it as "sRNA Os06g0215925". The record is from RNAcentral. Lineage: Eukaryota; Viridiplantae; Streptophyta; Magnoliopsida; Poales; Poaceae.